GAUGAACGCUGGCGGCGUGCUUAACACAUGCAAGUCGAACGAAGCACUUUUAUUUGAUUUCUUCGGAAUGAAGAUUUUAGUGACUGAGUGGCGGACGGGUGAGUAACGCGUGGGCAACCUGCCUCAUACAGGGGGAUAACAGUUAGAAAUGACUGCUAAUACCGCAUAAGACCACAGCACCGCAUGGUGCAGGGGUAAAAACUCCGGUGGUAUGAGAUGGACCCGCGUCUGAUUAGGUAGUUGGUGGGGUAACGGCCUACCAAGCCGACGAUCAGUAGCCGACCUGAGAGGGUGACCGGCCACAUUGGGACUGAGACACGGCCCAAACUCCUACGGGAGGCAGCAGUGGGGAAUAUUGCACAAUGGGGGAAACCCUGAUGCAGCGACGCCGCGUGAGCGAUGAGGUAUUUCGGUAUGUAAAGCUCUAUCAGCAGGGAAGAAAAUGACGGUACCUGACUAAGAAGCACCGGCUAAAUACGUGCCAGCAGCCGCGGUAA
RNAcentral lists this ribosomal RNA (497 nucleotides) under uncultured bacterium. RNAcentral describes it as "partial 16S ribosomal RNA". It matches the Rfam family "Bacterial small subunit ribosomal RNA", at positions 28 to 523 of the family's 1533-position model. The record is from RNAcentral.